This 464-nucleotide ribosomal RNA is filed under the name uncultured bacterium. RNAcentral's name for it is "bacterial SSU rRNA". It matches the Rfam family "Bacterial small subunit ribosomal RNA", at positions 329 to 792 of the family's 1533-position model. The record is from RNAcentral.
UCCCAGACUCCUACGGGAGGCAGCAGUGAGGAAUAUUGGUCAAUGGGCGAGAGCCUGAACCAGCCAAGUCGCGUGAGGGAGUACUGCCCUAUGGGUUGUAAACCUCUUUUGUCGGGGAGCAAAAGCCGGACGUGUCCGGCUGUGAGAGUACCCGAAGAAAAAGCAUCGGCUAACUCCGUGCCAGCAGCCGCGGUAAUACGGAGGAUGCGAGCGUUAUCCGGAUUUAUUGGGUUUAAAGGGUGCGUAGGCGGGCUGUUAAGUCAGCGGUAAAAUGUCGGGGCUCAACCCCGGCCUGCCGUUGAAACUGGCGGCCUCGAGUGGGCGAGAAGUAUGCGGAAUGCGUGGUGUAGCGGUGAAAUGCAUAGAUAUCACGCAGAACUCCGAUUGCGAAGGCAGCAUACCGGCGCCCUACUGACGCUGAGGCACGAAAGCGUGGGUAUCGAACAGGAUUAGAUACCCCCGUA